RNA transcript from Micropterus dolomieu (smallmouth bass), 531 nucleotides. It is a transcript of the gene named protein FAM240B, with no coding region annotated. The record is from RefSeq and is a predicted model, not a curated record. NCBI's taxonomy places the organism in Eukaryota, Metazoa, Chordata, Actinopteri, Centrarchiformes, Centrarchidae. The transcript is spliced from 2 exons.
AUCAGAUGCAUUACAUGUCCGCCAAAAUACUGCGUGGAAAGGCGCCAGAUCUGAUAUGCAGUACUUGCAGUAUGUGUUAUAAAAUACCGGGCUGCCUUCUGUAAACAUAUAUGCUGACUGUGUCCAUAACAUCAGUUUGCAUUGCACUUGGUGAUGUAAGGCUUGGAUGCAGCUGCUCGGCCAUGGAAACCAUCCCAUGAAGCUCUCUGCGCUUUUCUUGAGCUAAUCCGAAGGCCUCGUGACGUUUGGAGACUGAGGCAGGAGUGGAUGGUCCGUCUGGAGAACCGCACCAAACACCUGAAGAGCCUCAACGACAACUACGUCAGGAAGAUCAAGAUGGAGAAGUCAGCUGACCAGACAUGAGUUCAGACGCCGUGUCAUCCUGAUGUCAAUAAAGUGAUCAGCUUCAUGUUGUGUGAGAUUUGAACUCGGAUGUUUUGCAUUAAAUUAUGUAGACUGAUGUGAGGAAGUUAGUGUUUGUUUGCACAAAAUAAUAAAACUAAGUGAAUAAAGAACCAGACGAACCUUCCA